AGAAGACUCUAUCCCCUCAGAAAAAGACUAUCCUCUAUCCAGAGAAGGCUCUAUCCAUAGAUAGUAGCGGUGUCCGGGUGGGGGGCUCCUCGUAUGGACAGUGAGCUGUGAGGAGGACCCGGGCCUAUUGUGUGGACUGAUCACUAAGGCGGACACAGAGGAGGAGGAGGAGAGGCAGGAGCCGGCCAUGGACAACGCACACACCAAGACGGUGGAGGAGGUGUUGGCCCAUUUCAACGUGAAUGAAAGCACAGGGCUGGGCCUGGAGCAGGUCAAGAAGCAGAAGGAGAGAUGGGGGCCCAACGAGCUACCUGCAGAGGAAGGGAAAACAUUAUGGGAGUUGGUGAUUGAACAGUUUGAAGAUUUAUUAGUUAGAAUAUUGCUGCUCGCUGCCUGUAUAUCGUUUGUGUUGGCAUGGUUUGAGGAAGGUGAAGAAACAAUCACAGCCUUUGUAGAACCUUUUGUAAUUUUACUUAUUUUAGUAGCAAACGCCAUUGUGGGUGUGUGGCAGGAAAGAAAUGCUGAAAAUGCUAUUGAAGCACUCAAGGAAUAUGAGCCUGAAAUGGGUAAAGUGUACCGACAGGACCGGAAAAGUGUCCAGAGGAUUAAAGCCAGAGAUCUUGUUCCUGGGGACAUUGUUGAAGUUGCAGUUGGUGAUAAAGUCCCGGCAGACAUAAGGCUAACUUCUAUCAAGUCUACAACUUUAAGAGUAGAUCAGUCAAUCCUAACUGGCGAGUCUGUGUCUGUUAUCAAACACACUGACCCUGUCCCUGAUCCACGUGCUGUUAAUCAGGACAAAAAGAACAUGCUCUUUUCUGGUACAAAUAUUGCUGCUGGCAAAGCAUUUGGAGUAGUUAUAGCAACAGGAGUCAACACUGAAAUUGGGAAGAUUCGAGAUGAAAUGGUAGCAACUGAGCAAGAGAGGACUCCAUUGCAGCAGAAGUUGGAUGAAUUUGGGGAACAGCUCUCCAAAGUUAUCUCUCUAAUUUGUAUCGCUGUCUGGCUGAUCAAUAUUGGACACUUUAAUGAUCCAGUUCAUGGAGGCUCUUGGAUCAGAGGAGCCAUCUACUACUUCAAAAUUGCAGUUGCCCUUGCUGUUGCUGCCAUCCCUGAGGGUUUGCCUGCGGUUAUUACUACUUGUUUGGCUCUGGGUACUAGAAGAAUGGCCAAGAAAAAUGCUAUUGUCAGAAGCUUGCCAUCUGUUGAAACCUUAGGUUGUACAUCGGUCAUCUGCUCUGACAAGACGGGAACUCUAACCACUAACCAGAUGUCUGUGUGUAGGAUGUUUGUUGUUGAUAGAGUUGAAGGUGAUAAUUGCUUCCUGAAUGAGUUUUCUGUAACAGGCUCCACUUAUGCUCCCAUGGGAGAAGUGCUGAAAGAUGACAAACUAGUGAAAUGUCACCAGUAUGACGGUCUAAUAGAGCUUGCCACCAUCUGUGCCCUUUGUAACGAUUCAUCUUUGGACUUCAAUGAGGCAAAGGGUGUUUAUGAGAAAGUUGGAGAAGCUACAGAGACUGCUCUUACCUGCCUAGUUGAAAAAAUGAAUGUAUUUGACACAGAUCUAAAGGGACUCUCAAGAAUAGAGCGUGCCAAUGCUUGCAACUCGGUUAUUAAACAACUGAUGAAGAAGGAAUUUACAUUGGAGUUCUCAAGAGAUAGGAAAUCUAUGUCUGUUUACUGUACGCCAAACAAACCAAGUCGCACUAACCUUAACAAAAUGUUUGUCAAGGGGGCUCCUGAGGGUUUAAUAGAUCGUUGUACUCAUAUCCGUGUUGGAAGCACAAAAGUACAAUUAACACCUGGCAUUAAACAGAAGAUUACGAGUGUGAUCAGAGAGUGGGGUUCAGGCCGAGACACUCUGCGCUGCUUGGCUCUGGCAACUCAUGAUAACCCCAUACGGAAAGAAGAUAUGAAUCUUGUGGAAUCGUCCAAUUUCAUUAAUUAUGAGACCAAUCUGACUUUUGUUGGCUGUGUUGGAAUGCUGGACCCACCCAGAACCGAAGUUGCUGCAUCAGUGAAAAUGUGUCGACAGGCUGGAAUACGCGUAAUUAUGAUUACUGGUGAUAACAAAGGCACAGCAAUUGCAAUUUGUCGACGUGUUGGUAUCUUCCGUGAAGAUGAGGAUGUUUCUGAGAAGGCUUUCACAGGUCGCGAGUUUGAUGAGUUGUCUCUUGCUGCACAAAGGGACGCUUGCAUGAAUGCACGCUGCUUUGCUCGUGUAGAACCUUCACACAAGUCCAAAAUUGUUGAGUUUCUGCAGUCAUUUGAUGAGAUCACAGCCAUGACUGGAGAUGGUGUCAAUGAUGCCCCUGCCUUGAAGAAAGCAGAGAUUGGAAUAGCUAUGGGAUCUGGGACUGCAGUGGCCAAAACUGCUUCAGAAAUGGUGCUGGCUGAUGAUAACUUCUCCACCAUUGUGGCUGCUGUUGAGGAAGGGCGAGCCAUCUACAACAACAUGAAGCAGUUCAUUCGUUACCUCAUCUCUUCAAAUGUCGGAGAAGUGGUUUGCAUUUUCCUGACAGCUGCCCUUGGAUUUCCUGAGGCAUUAAUUCCUGUCCAGCUGCUGUGGGUUAACUUGGUGACUGAUGGUCUUCCUGCAACUGCACUGGGUUUCAAUCCACCAGAUCUGGACAUCAUGAACAAGCCACCCCGUAAUCCUAAGGAACCACUCAUAAGUGGUUGGCUCUUCUUCCGGUAUCUUACUAUUGGAUGUUAUGUUGGUGCCGCUACAGUUGGUGCUGCUUCCUGGUGGUUUAUUGCUGCUGAUGAUGGACCAAGAAUCACUUUCUAUCAACUGAGCCAUUUUCUUCAGUGCAAAGAGGACAACCCAGAAUAUGAGAACGUUCAGUGUGAAGUCUUUGAGUCUCCUUACCCAAUGACGAUGGCGCUGUCGGUCCUUGUCACUAUUGAAAUGUGUAAUGCCUUGAACAGCUUGUCUGAAAACCAAUCUCUUCUGAGAAUGCCUCCAUGGGAAAACGUGUGGCUUCUGGGCUCGAUUUGCUUAUCCAUGUCCCUCCAUUUCCUAAUUCUUUAUGUUGAACCAUUACCUCUCAUCUUCCAAAUAACUCCAUUGAACCUGACUCAGUGGUUGAUGGUGCUGAAAAUCUCAUUACCAGUCAUUCUUCUGGAUGAGGCACUUAAAUUUAUUGCCCGUAACUACUUGGAACCCGGUAAAGAGUGUGAAAAGCCUGACGCCAAACCGUGCACUUUUUCAGCAUGCACUGAGGGAAUUUCUUGGCCGUUUGUGUUCAUUACCUUACCUUUGGUUACAUGGCUUUACAGCACCGACACUAACAUUACUGAGAUGUUUUGGUCUUGACUGACGUUUUUAUGGAAUGGAAAUGUUUAACUUAACCUAUUCAUUUUUUUUUUUUUUAUUGUUUAAAGCAACUGUCUAUUUCUGCUGAAAUUUCACACAAACGUAAUGCUGGUGAAGGCAAGUUUUUGUUUCCCAUACUAGGUCUUAUUUUGCUUCCCCCCCAAACACACACCUCUUGACUCAAUGCUGGAUAAGAGGUGCCUCACUUUUAGUUUUUUUGUUUUAUACAUACACACUUGGUGUUCAUGUACAGAGAAUUAACACUAUUUUAUGCAAAUAUUUUUUGUAGAUGGGGGGGAAAAAGCAUGUACAGUGUUCUGUUUCAUAAUAUUCAUUCUCGUUUAAAAAAAAAAAAAGGAAAAAAAAACACCCAAACAUAAGGAAGUGAAAAGGAACUUUAAUUUGAUUUAAAUGGACAUUAUCUGCAGAAAAUUAGUAGCAGAUUUAGGGAAAGUGAUUAAAUGUCUAAAAAUACAAAGCAUGAUCUGUCUUUCUGCAUGGUCAUUUGGAUUUGGUUUGAUAUCAUUAAUGCUGUCUUCUUUAAUGGGCUUUUUAUAUAGCCAUAAGCCAUUUUUUCCUGCACAAAGCAGAUAACUGCUACCUCAGUCAGUAUUUUUUGUUUUCUAGGCUCUCUUUUUUUUUAUUUUAUUUUUUUUGUCUGUUUACACUGUUUUCCAUAAGAGGUAUGCCUGUUGCUUGUGCAGCUCAUUAUACACCCAUCUAGUUCAAAUAAAGUUUCUCCCAUAGAUUUUUAAGUUUAUUUAUUUAAAUGUCUAAUGUAUUUUUUAUUGUAAGACAUUUUCAUUUUGCCAGUGUUGCCCAUAUCAUGGACUAUACUUCUCAUCCUAGACAAAAAUAAAAACAAUUUUAAUAGACAGAGAAACCAAUGUCUUGUCUUGAAAACUGCUUUAUCACCUAAGUUCCUUAUCUCUCUUUUUUUUUUUUUUAUUUUUUUUUCUGCAUUAAAACAUACUGUGUGAAUGUGAUCAAAUAACUUGCACUGCAAAGAUAAAGUUGGAUCUUAUUUCAUUUGUUGGCGCACACAAGCAUCCACCUAUUAUCAUUGCAGGAUAUUCUGUUAACUUGUAUUACCAGAGUUGGGGAGUUUAACUUUGUGUAUUUAAUUUUUUUUAACUUGUAAAUAGAACAUGACCAAAUGAACAUAUUGUAUAGAUCUAUUUUUAUUUGAAAGUGACACUAAUGACCAUCAUUUAACUGUUAGAGCAUGUUUUCAGGUUGAUUCCCGUCAGCCUCCAAAGUUUAGAUCAUUAAUCGUCCUAAUUGUGGUGUUUUUUUCCAAAUGCAUUCCAACACUCAUCAACUAAAAACAACUGGAGUAAUCCCCUCCUUAAACAAUUGUGCAGAGAUGUAAGAUUGCUUUGUUGCGUGCAUGUGUGUGUUUAGAGGCAGUUAAUGGGUACAGGAAAAGGCAUGUCUAUUGGGCUUUGAAAAUUUGCUAAACUGAAAAAAAAUACACAGCAGCAGAAUUAGAAGAUUCUGUGAAUUUGAAUUAUUCAGUGCACAGUGAAGAUGCAACAUAUAAUUGAAUGCAUAUUAAUCUUUUUGCUGUUAGAGGGGCACCCAGAGUCCUAUGAGGUAUUUGGACCCUCUAACAUCAAAUGGAUAAAGAAGAAAUCUUGAGCAGCCACGUUUGUGUUUCGCCAUGUAAGAUGUCAUUGAUUCAUGUACAAUAUCAUUGUAGUGCAUGCUUUCAGUUGUAAGUAGCCAAAUGUCUGUAUUGUAUCAUUUCCUUUAUAAACAGCUAUGUACAAUAUGCACUUGUUCUAUUUAUAAACUCAAUCAAAAGGUACAGAUGUUGAAUGUUUAAAAUGUAAAUCUCCAAAUCGCCAUUUCAUAAGUUUUAGUUUUUUUUUUAAACUUUAAGUGUGCAAAUAUCAUUUUUGCACUGUAAUAAUGUAACUUAUUAAAUUAUAAAGCAGAUAACAUUUUGGUGCAAUACGACUUAUUGUGAUGCUUCUGUUACAAGAAAACAAUGUCAGUUACUGCAAACGCAUGUUUGGCCUUUAGGCAAUUGUAAAUAAAUUCAGUUGUUGCUGACAUGAGCAUCAUACAGACAUCAUGGUUUCAGGUAAAUAAAAGUUUGUUCUACUAUA
This is an RNA transcript of Rana temporaria (common frog), 5430 nucleotides long. It is a transcript of the gene named ATPase sarcoplasmic/endoplasmic reticulum Ca2+ transporting 2, with no coding region annotated. The record is from RefSeq and is a predicted model, not a curated record. Lineage: Eukaryota; Metazoa; Chordata; Amphibia; Anura; Ranidae. The transcript is spliced from 21 exons.